RNAcentral lists this ribosomal RNA (490 nucleotides) under uncultured bacterium. Its description in RNAcentral is "partial 16S ribosomal RNA". It matches the Rfam family "Bacterial small subunit ribosomal RNA", at positions 30 to 507 of the family's 1533-position model. The record is from RNAcentral.
AUUGAACGCUGGCGGCAUGCCUUACACAUGCAAGUCGAACGGCAGCAUGAUCUAGCUUGCUAGAUUGAUGGCGAGUGGCGAACGGGUGAGUAAUACAUCGGAACGUGCCCUGUAGUGGGGGAUAACUAGUCGAAAGAUUAGCUAAUACCGCAUACGACCUGAGGGUGAAAGUGGGGGACCGCAAGGCCUCAUGCUAUAGGAGCGGCCGAUGUCUGAUUAGCUAGUGGGUGAGGUAAAGGCUCACCAAGGCGACGAUCAGUAGCUGGUCUGAGAGGACGAUCAGCCACACUGGGACUGAGACACGGCCCAGACUCCUACGGGAGGCAGCAGUGGGGAAUUUUGGACAAUGGGCGAAAGCCUGAUCCAGCAAUGCCGCGUGUGUGAAGAAGGCCUUCGGGUUGUAAAGCACUUUUGUCCGGAAAGAAAUGGCUCUGGUUAAUACCUGGGGUCGAUGACGGUACCGGAAGAAUAAGGACCGGCUAACUACGUG